RNAcentral lists this long non-coding RNA (571 nucleotides) under Capsicum annuum. Its description in RNAcentral is "long non-coding RNA (CANN_LNC003929)". Lineage: Eukaryota; Viridiplantae; Streptophyta; Magnoliopsida; Solanales; Solanaceae. The record is from RNAcentral.
AACAACUUGAGAGAAAGCAAGCAAAAAGAAAAACAAGAAAAUUGUGAGAGGAAAAACAAAAAAGAAGAGUUAGAAACAAGGAACAAAAGGGAAAAAAGAAGAAAACUCACGGAAAAAAAAAACAAAAAACUUGAGAUAAACCAAAACCAAAACCAAAACCGAAACCAAAAUCAAAGCCAAGACAAAAAAAAAAUGGAAAAGAAAAACACUUUAAAAGAAAGGACCGAAAACAAGAAACAGUAAGUGAAAACAAUAAAUAGUGAGAAAAACAAAAAAAGGAAAAACAAAUGGGAAGUUCUUUGAGUUUGGGUCCUGUUCGAGUUUUUCGGUAACGACAUUUUCAUUUCCAUCUUAAGUUAACUUAUCUCACAGGUUCUACUUGAGAUCCUUUCUAUUUAUUUUUUAAGUUUUAUUAUGAAUCAAAUAAUGAUUAAAGUUAUUUUAAUAAUUCCGUAAUUUAAGAUGUAAAGUUUAAUAUUCAUGUAAAGUUCUUUUUUUUUUUUUAAUUGUUUUAUGUUUUUAUUUGUAAUUUAUUUAUUGUAUUGAAUCAAAGAUAAAAUGUAAUCUUAGU